GUGGUUUUAAGAGGUGCUGCUAUAAUGAAAAAUCACAGGCUCACCCAAGAACUACCGUGGAAUCAGAACCUCUAGGGAUAUGGCCCUAGAAUCUGAAUUUUAAGCCAGUUCCUGAGGUGCAAUUCAGUUUGAGAACUACAGUCUUAAGGCAAAACCUUUCUAUCAUACCAGAGCUUCCAAUUGUCAGGCCCUUUGAAUCCACCCUUUGUGUCAAACCUUAGAUAAUUCAAGAGACAUAACAAACGUGAUCAUGUUACAUGCUUCCUCACAGAUUUCAGUGUCUCCCAUUUCUUCUAUUAGUUUAAAAAACAUAGUCCACCAUCACAGGGCCCUGUUUAAGCCAGCUCCUCCUCUGUGGCUCUGCCUUUGUGGUCAACCUGUGCAAAACUUUGAGGCUGUGACAUCACUUAGUCAGUCUCCAACAUUUGGAACAAGAGAACUUUUUCUAACAAUUUGAUCCCAAUUCCUAUUUUAAGCUUGAGCAUUAUGAAGGCUGUAUCUGUAUAUAAUAUUGAACACUUCAAAACAAUUUUAGAUCUUAAUUAUUUUGUUAUUAAAAUGUUGGGGGUGUUUAAGUUGACAUUGAGUCAGAUGUAGGAACUGAUAUACAGUGAAGUUAAAUCCUUUAGGGUAAACUCAUUCAGUGGUAGAGGCUGAACUACAGAGCCUAGGCAUUCUGACAUUCCACCACUGUGCUUAUCAGCUUGCUCCUUGAGCAAACCUUUUCCUGCCUUUAUGAGAAUAUGCCCAUUUUAUGGGCUCUGUAUCUAUGAGAUAUUUUACCUAUGCUUAUGUACACAUGGUGUUUAUCUUUCAAAGCUGGACUAUGGAAAAGCCUAAUUUUACAAACAUGUUAGUAAAAGAUUAUGUAAUCUGAGGUGAUUACGUUUAAAAUGGCAAUGAUAAUGAUGUUAAUUCCAGUCCUGUGAGGUACUGUUUCUGAUCUGGAAAGAGCAGUUUUCUUUUUUAACAGCUUAUUUUGUAUUUUCAUAAUCCAUUUUAAGGUUUGGUAUUAAUAUAGACAUGAGAAAUAAAAUAUAACUGUUGCCAUGCCAAAUGUAUAUCAAAAAGUUGCUAAUAGCCAUGACUGCUAUUUGGUUAACUGUAUUUCACUAUUUAAAUAAAAUGAUGGAAAAUGGUGUGUCUAGGAUCUCAUUCAUAAUAAUGAAAGACAAUAGAAACUAUUAGCAUAGGUAUGAUGCUAAUGAAUGGUAAAUUUUCAAUAGAGAUCCAUCGACCAGAUUGUUUGAAAAAUGUUUCCUGUGGGUACGAAAAAUGCACACAAACAAACACAUGCAUCAAAAUGUCCAUAAUUAAGUUUUUAGGGAAAAAUAACAAUAUAUGUUGGUUAAGGACUUUCACUUAAAUGGCAUUAUAGAUCUUUCAGAAAUGAGAGUUGAUUUAUACUUCAGUAUUUUGGUUCCCAAAGGUUGGGACAGUGGGUGGUAGAGGAGAAGUAGAGUAAAUGGAAGGUAUACAUGUAUGUGUGUGCAUAUGGGCAACUUUAAGCACCUUGAAUUUAAUGAACAAAAAAUGUCAUUAUUCUGUGUUUAUAUAUUUUUGUGUGAAACAAGUACCUUUCUCUAUCACUGGAGUUUACAUGGAUUUUCUCAUGAUAUCUUUUGAGAAUCUCUUUAAACACUAAAAUACAUUUUUCCAAAUGAAAACUCCCAUAAUUCUGCUUUAUUAAUAUCUGAAUGAAUAUUUCCAUUGAUUUGUCCAGAAGAAGGAACUGAGUACUGUUUAGAGAGCAAUCUUUUUCAUGAUAAUUGGCAGCAAUGUUUCCCUGCUAUCAGAAAGAAAACUAUAGAAAUACGAAACUUUAGAUAAACAUGGAGAUAAAAAUAAUAUUAUGGAGUCCAACUGGUAUCUUUGAGGUGAGGACAGGCUGAGAUGGACUCCUUGGCUUCCUUCUGUCCAAAAAUUUCCUGUUUCCCUAUUUCCUACGGUUACCACCAUGGAACAUGUUAAAAUCUCAGUAGGGACUCUGUUUCAACUUUUCCUGUCAAAACACAGUGAAAAAGCUUAAUGGAAAAAAAUGUCCUUCCUAUCUCCAUGCCAGGCACAGUGUAAGAUCCACAAACUUAAAAGCCAGGAAAAUAUUCUUUUAUGUGCCCCAAAGCUGGGCAAGUGACCUAGUACUACAAAAAUUCCCAAAUAGGCAUGUGACCUGACUAAUGUGUGCUGUGAGAUGAGUCAAGAAAAAUGGAACCAUCUGUACUUUUAUUGGACAGUCAAAUAAUUUCUUUCUGUCCACCCAAAAACAUAAUUUCUAUGUUAAGAGUGAUACAAGGAGACUUUUAGAAAGUCUAAUUUUUAAAAUCAGAGAUAUUAAAAUAUAUGAAAAGUAUAACCUAUUAAACACUGGUGGAGAUAAGCAAAUAGGCUUAUGAAAUCAUUAUUGCUUUAAAAAUUUGUUACCUACUCAUUGUGUACUAAGGCUUCUCUACGACAUACAGAAGAGGCCGGUGCGGUGGCUCACGCCUGUAAUCCCAGCAUUUCGAGAGGCUGAGGCAGGUGGAUCAUGAGGUCAGGAGUUCAAGACCAGCCUGGCCAAGAUGGGGAAACCCCGUCUCUACUGAAAAUACAAAAAAAAAAAAAAUUAGCUGGGCAUGGUGGUGGGCACCUGUAAUCCCAGCUACUCUGGAGGCUGAGGCAGAGAACUGCUUGAACCUUGGAGGCGGAGGUUGCAGCAAGCCAAGAUUGCCCCACUGCACUCCAGCCUGGGUGACAGAGCAAGACUGUAAAAAAAAAAAAAAAGAAAAGAAAAAAAGACAUACAGAAGGAAAUCAGGGAAAAUGGGAAAAUGAAGGGAAUUAACAAAUUGCAAUAAUCUUUAAGAAGUAGAGUAUGAACAAUUUUCCUUUUCUAGGAUGAAAGCUACCAACAACUGAACUCUUAGAGUGAGUGAUGGCAGAAAAAAAUAGCAAUCAAGAAUAGGGGCAUGUUAGUUUUUAGACAUGUUUACAAAACUCUGCCUUUUAUUUCUUAAACCCAUAGGUCAACCACCCAUCAUACCUACAUUACCCCAUAUGACAAGUGGAUUUGUUGUAUGUUUCAAGUUUUUAAUCUUGGUGGGAAGGGGGAGGGCAGAGAAGUAUUUAUUGGUAAAAUAUCAUAAUAAAGGUUGAGCCUGUCAAUGAUUGUACCUAACAAUAAUAAAUAUGUGUAGGAAGUAAGAACGGCAAAAAUGAAGCCGGGUAGGAUACUGUGGAUAUGGUGACAGACAAGUAUCUAUACGAAAUCCUGAGAUAUUUGUCCUCCAUUUCAUAAAUUAAAGUGCCCCCUCUUUUGCUUUACAGAUAAGGAAACUGAGGUGCAUUAUAAUAGCAACAGCAGCUGAUGUGUAGUAGAUCCAUACCACAAGCCAGACGAGGCACAAGUCAACCAGAGGUUAUGCAAUUAGCUUGGAGUCAAAGAGAAAGCAAGGAGUAGAGCUGAGAAGGAAACCCCAGUGUGAACUUGAUUUUUAUUCAAUCAAACUGUUAAGAAACACAUGCCCUGGGAUUAAAAGGGGAUUACUUUGGUC
RNAcentral lists this long non-coding RNA (3529 nucleotides) under Homo sapiens (human). Its description in RNAcentral is "HSALNT0059018". Lineage: Eukaryota; Metazoa; Chordata; Mammalia; Primates; Hominidae. The record is from RNAcentral.